RNAcentral lists this ribosomal RNA (253 nucleotides) under uncultured Sphingomonadales bacterium. RNAcentral describes it as "partial 16S ribosomal RNA". It matches the Rfam family "Bacterial small subunit ribosomal RNA", at positions 524 to 776 of the family's 1533-position model. Lineage: Bacteria; Pseudomonadati; Pseudomonadota; Alphaproteobacteria; Sphingomonadales. The record is from RNAcentral.
UACGGAGGGAGCUAGCGUUGUUCGGAAAUACUGGGCGUAAAGCGCACGUAGGCGGCUAUCUAAGUCAGGGGUGAAAUCCCGGAGCUCAACUCCGGAACUGCCUUUGAAACUGGAUGGCUAGAAUCUUGGAGAGGCGAGUGGAAUUCCGAGUGUAGAGGUGAAAUUCGUAGAUAUUCGGAAGAACACCAGUGGCGAAGGCGACUCGCUGGACAAGUAUUGACGCUGAGGUGCGAAAGCGUGGGGAGCAAACAGG